UCAAAGUGAAGAAAUUCAA
This 19-nucleotide small nuclear RNA is filed under the name Arabidopsis thaliana (thale cress). Its description in RNAcentral is "snRNA_06209". Lineage: Eukaryota; Viridiplantae; Streptophyta; Magnoliopsida; Brassicales; Brassicaceae. The record is from RNAcentral.